GGUUGAAAGGUGAUCACGUGGACCGGAGCACAGCUCCGGGACCGUGUCUCUAGGGCCUGGCGGGUAAGGCCAGCGAGGUAGCGGGCCAAUCUCCGCACCUCAUCGGAGCCGUGACGCCCCAGCCCCGGCUCCUUCGCCGUGACACUGUGUCUCCGUCUAUGGGACAGGAGACUUCGCGCCUCGCGUUUGCCAGUCUCCGUCGAGACUGCACGUUUCUGCAGGCCUCCACCCGCGCUCCGUCGCCAAGGGCCCCGGGGACGGCGGCCUGGGCCUUUCGGGCAUUUGACGUCAUUUUGUUGUUGUUGUUUGACAUCAUUUUAUAGCGAGGUUCGGAGUUUGAGGCGCAGCCCGAGGGGACCCUGCCCUGGUCUCCCGCCUCACGGGGCCCCAUCCCUCCCACUGUGUCCAGUGGCAGUGGCGGGGGCGGCAGCACUGAUGAACCCAGCGCAGGGCGGUGUGACCUUCGAGGAUGUGUUCGUGUACUUCUCCCGGGAGGAGUGGGAGCUGCUAGAGGAAGCUCAGAGACUCCUGUACCGUGAUGUGAUGCUGGAGAACUUUGCACUUGUGUCAUCGCUGGGACUUGCAGUUUCCAGGUCUCAUGGGGCUACCGAGCUGCAGCCGGAGGGGAGCCUGGGGUGCCUGAGGAGGUAGACGCUCCUCCGGUCAGAGCAGAGAAGACCUGGAGGAGGCCCAGGCCUGGUCGUUGGCCCGGAGUGGCGGGUGUGGCCGCACCUUCUGAGCAGGGGGCUCCUGUGAGCCGGCUGCAGAUGAGAACUGCCCAGGCCGAGCCCUCCACCCACGCGGCUCACCCCUGCGACAUGUGUGGCCCAGUCUUGAAAGACAGUUUGGCCCCUGGAUGAGCCGCCGGGAACUCCCAGCAGGUGAAUCACGGGGAGAGAUUUCGGGUGUAGUGUAAACCUCGACCAGAUGCAGAAGUGGUAGAAUGGAGUCUUCAGAAGAGAAAACGCAGGCUUCAUUUGUAAAGUACUACGGAUCCUAUACAUCAGAGACAGCCUUCACUUGCAGGGAGGGUGGAGAGAACUUCCGGCCAGCACCCAGCCCCUCGCCGUGGGGAGAAGCCAAGCGGGCGUGUCAGGAGCUUAUUCUCUGCUGUCAUCGCCAUGGGGUCCUUUGGGUAUUGGAUUCCCGUUGGGCCGGAAAGCACAACUGAGGCCAUAAAGCUUUCUGCCUCUCAGUGGCCCUUGUUGGAGGGAACGUUGCUCCAGGGGACACUUGACUCUGGGACUCUGGGUUAGAGCAAACUAGAAAUCAGAAAUGCAAGAAGGGCUGUGGAGCCCAGGGACAGUUUCCCACAAGGAGAGUCUUCAGGAGGAUGAGCUGUGAACACAGCGGUGUGAGAACAGGUGACAGUCUCUGCUCCAGCAAUUACUGGAACAAUUACUCCUGUAGAUGCUUUUCAUAAACAGAACUCACAUGCACCAGGGAAAGCUUCCAUGAUCUAUGCAGGCAAGAAUCUCUGCAAGUGGAAGAAAUGUGGGAUGGCUUUAACAAACUGAUGUGCCUUUCUCCCGAGGGUGGGCCCGAGUCAGCACGUGAGGAUUUGUGCUCAGCAGAACCACAGGAGUGGUCAGGCUCAUGCAGCAACAGCACAUUGACACUGAGAAGCCUUAUGAAUGCAGAGAAUGUGGGAAAGUGUCUUGUGUCUGCUCUGCUUUUGUUCCAAGUAACAUUUCCCACUCCAAAGACAGUCAUACUUUGAGUGCAAAGUAUGUGGGUACACCUUCUGUGACAACUUUUUUACUCAGCGUGUGAGGGUUCUCACAAGAGAGGAUCCCAGAGUACAGUGAAUGUGGAAAGGCCUUCGUUCACCCUUAUUUGUCUGGCCUAGUAGGAUCCAUGCUGGAGAAAAACCAUUUGAGUAUAAGAAUAUCAGAGAGCCUUUCGUUAUAGCUCCUCCCUGAUUCCAUAUGGGAAGGCUCACAUGAGGGAGAAAUGCUGUGAAUCCAGUGAAUGUGGACAGUCCCUCUGCCUUCAUUUAUUCCUUACCAAGCCUCAGAGUGUUCACACUGGGGAGAAACCCUGUGAGCGUAAGAAAUGGGCCAAAGCCUUUUACAUGUGAACUUGUCUCAGGCAUUAUCAGAGAACUCAUACUGGGAAAAGACCUUUUGAAUGUAACUCCUGGGGAAAAUCUUCUGAACAGAGGAAGCAUCAUACUCUGAGGAAUUAUACCAAAGAGAAAUAACUGUUCGUAUGCUGUGAGAAAAUCUUCUGAAAUCAGUCAUCACUUAUUGUCAUUGGAAGAGUCAUAUAGGAAAUGGAUCCAUCCUAGGACAUUGCAUCUGAGAAUUUAUAAAGGAGAGAGAACCAGUGGCUACUGUGCAGUUUCAAAAAUCUUCAACCAUAGCUCUGCCCUUACUAUGCACUGAAAAAGCAACCACAGGAAUAUUUAAAAAACAAAAACAAAGGAGAAAGAAAAAUAUAAGUAGAUAUAACAGGCCAAGAAAUGUAUUUAUGACUUUUCUGGUUUUCCUGAGAAACCAAUGACAGUUUAUUGUCUGUUUUUUGUUGUUGUUGUUGUUUUUGAGUGGCAAAACAAACUCUCAAUUUGUUUGAGAGAUUAAACACCUGAAUUAAUAUGCACUGUGUGCCAUGCCACACCAGGAAAGCUGGAAGCUUGAGAACAUCUCUGCAAAUGUUACUUGUUACGAAACAUCAUCUUAGGUGAUGCCUUGAUUUAUGAAGGCUUUAAAACUUAAAUUAGGAUACAAAAAUGUUGUCUAAAAUUAUAAUCUAAAGACAUAAGGACACACUUAUGAAUGGAUCCAUUUUACUUAACUACUUAAAACUGUUUAAGGCUUCAUUUUUAUUUAUUUAUCCAUUAAUUAUUGAGAUAUAAUUGACCUAUAACUAUGUAUGUUUAAGAUGUACAGCAUAUUUAUCAGAUACAUUUACACUGUAGUAUGAUUGCCAUCAUAGCAUCAGUUAGCCUCCGUUGUGCCACAGAAUUAUCAUCUCUUUUAGUGGUGGGAACAAAUAAGAUAUCUCUUGGCAAGUUUAAUGUUUAUGAUAUAGUUUUAUUGUCUGUAAUCCCAGUACUUUAUGUUAGAGCUCUCGGAAUUAUUUGUCUACGAGUUGUAAGUGUAUACCCCUGAACAUCAUCUCUCCCAUCCCCUCACCCCACCCCCGGCCUUUGGUAACCAUCACUGUAAUGUUUUCCAGCUCAGUUUUUGGUUUUGUUUUGCUUUUUCCAUGCAUAAGGGAUAUUAUACAAUAUUUGCUGUAUAUCACUUAGCAUGACGUUCUCAAGGUCCAUCUGUAUUGUUGAAAAUGGCAGGAUUUCCUUUUUUCUCAAGGCUGAGUAUAUGUGUUUUUAUUCCUUUAUUGUCGGGGUCCUUUAAUGGACCGGAGCCUGGUGGUCCAGAGUUGACAAUAAGAAAGUCAAAGAGAAAAAGAGGCUGAUGUUCCCUGGUUUACGCAGAGAACCAAAAGCCCUUGACACAGGUCAUGGAUUGCUCACGAAGGCACAGGGCGCCCUCUCGAGGGGGACUUGGAAGCCUGGGCAGGAAAGUGAGCAUGACGGGUUUCUACAUUCCAGAGAAUU
Long non-coding RNA from Dama dama (fallow deer), 3562 nucleotides. RefSeq lists it as uncharacterized. The record is from RefSeq and is a predicted model, not a curated record. Lineage: Eukaryota; Metazoa; Chordata; Mammalia; Artiodactyla; Cervidae. The transcript has 4 exons.